Rhododendron vialii is the source of this 229-nucleotide long non-coding RNA. RefSeq lists it as uncharacterized. Lineage: Eukaryota; Viridiplantae; Streptophyta; Magnoliopsida; Ericales; Ericaceae. The transcript has 2 exons. The record is from RefSeq and is a predicted model, not a curated record.
AAGUUGGGGAUGUGAAAGCUCACAAGGUUUCAGAAGACCUACUUAAAACGCCACUUAUAAGAUCUUGUGAGCAUGGUGGUGAGAUCAACUGUGUAUCGUGGGCAAAGGAGGGUGAAGGGACAAAGGUUUUAGAGGGUUCUUUUAUGCAUAAAAGUUUACGAGUUGGGUUCAUGCUCAAAAAGGGCAACAGAGUUUAAGGUCUCUUAGAAGGCCCAUUCCAAGAACCCAG